CGUAUCUCACAGGGACAUUGUUAUUGUUCAGCUGCUCAGUCAUGUCCAACUAUUUGCAACCCCAUAGACUGCAGCACGCUGGGCUUCCCUGUUCUUCAUCAUCUCCCAGAGUUUGCUCAAACUCAAGUCCAUUGAGUCAGCGAUGCCAUCCAACCAUGCCUACUUCCAUUUCCCAGAGUGAAUCAAAAUUCCUUGCAGAAUCUCUUACUGCGCAUGGGGAAGCUGUUUAGAAGGACAGAAGCCUUUGGGAAACGAAUGUCUCCUUACAGAGCACCUUAUCAUCAAAGGGAAUCUGUGAGCCUGAGCUUGUACGAACAUAUAAAAUGAG
Molecule: long non-coding RNA, 328 nt
Filed under: Androctonus crassicauda
Lineage: Eukaryota; Metazoa; Arthropoda; Arachnida; Scorpiones; Buthidae
Source: RNAcentral